RNAcentral lists this ribosomal RNA (406 nucleotides) under uncultured bacterium. RNAcentral's name for it is "partial 16S ribosomal RNA". It matches the Rfam family "Bacterial small subunit ribosomal RNA", at positions 29 to 526 of the family's 1533-position model. The record is from RNAcentral.
AUUGAACGCUGGCGGCAGGCCUAACACAUGCAAGUCGAACGAGUGGCGGACGGGUGAGUAAUGUCUGGGAAACUGCCCGAUGGAGGGGGAUAACUACUGGAAACGGUAGCUAAUACCGCAUACCAUCGGAUGUGCCCAGAUGGGAUUAGCUAGUGGGUGGGGUAACGGCUCACCUAGGCGACGAUCCCUAGCUGGUCUGAGAGGAUGACCAGCCACACUGGAACUGAGACACGGGCCAAGCUCAUACGGGAGGCCGGAGUGGGGAAUAUUGGACAAAGGGCGAAAGCCUGAUGCAGCCAUGCCGCGGGUAUGAAGAAGGCCUUCGGGUUGGAAAGUACUUUCAGCGAGGAGGCGUUACUCGCAGAAGAAGCACCGGCUAACUCCGUGCCAGCAGCCGCGGUAAUAC